Molecule: ribosomal RNA, 253 nt
Filed under: uncultured bacterium
Lineage: Bacteria
Description: partial 16S ribosomal RNA
Rfam family: Bacterial small subunit ribosomal RNA
Source: RNAcentral
UACAGAGGCCCCAAUCGUUGUUCGGAUUCACUGGGCGGAAAGGGUGCGUAGGUGGCUUGGAAAGUUUGAUGUGAAAGCUCAGGGCUUAACCCUGAAAUGGCAUUGAAUACUACUGAGCUGGAGGUUUGGAGGGGGGACUGGAAUUCUCGGUGUAGCAGUGAAAUGCGUAGAUAUCGAGAGGAACACCAGUGGCGAAGGCGAGUCCCUGGACAACACCUGACACUGAGGCACGAAAGCCGGGGGAGCAAACAGG